GGAGGAGUGGCAGAGUGGUCGAAUGCGACGGUCUUGAAAACCGUUGAGCGUUGACGCGUUCCGGGGGUUCGAAUCCCUCCUCCUCCGCCA
Molecule: transfer RNA, 90 nt
Filed under: hydrothermal vent metagenome
Description: tRNA-Ser-TGA
Rfam family: tRNA
About the family: Transfer RNA (tRNA) molecules are approximately 80 nucleotides in length. Their secondary structure includes four short double-helical elements and three loops (D, anti-codon, and T loops).
Source: RNAcentral